Molecule: small RNA, 121 nt
Filed under: Marmota monax (woodchuck)
Lineage: Eukaryota; Metazoa; Chordata; Mammalia; Rodentia; Sciuridae
Source: RNAcentral
GUUGGGUGCAGCGGCGCGCGCCUGUAAUUCCAGCAGUUUGGGAGGCUGAGGCAAGAGGAUCAUGAGUUCAAAGCCAGCAACUUGGCAAGACCCUAAGCAACUCAUUGAGACCCUGUCUUUA